This 450-nucleotide ribosomal RNA is filed under the name uncultured bacterium. RNAcentral describes it as "partial 16S ribosomal RNA". It matches the Rfam family "Bacterial small subunit ribosomal RNA", at positions 338 to 795 of the family's 1533-position model. The record is from RNAcentral.
CCUACGGGUGGCAGCAGUGAGGAAUAUUGGUCAAUGGUCGGAAGACUGAACCAGCCAUGCCGCGUGCAGGAAGACGGUCCUAUGGAUUGUAAACUGCUUUUGUACGGGAAGAAACACUCCUUCGUGAAGGAGCUUGACGGUACCGUAAGAAUAAGGAUCGGCUAACUCCGUGCCAGCAGCCGCGGUAAUACGGAGGAUCCAAGCGUUAUCCGGAAUCAUUGGGUCGUAAGGGGCCGUAGAAGUUAGGAUAGAAAUCCGGCAGCUUAACUGUCGAACUGCCAUUGAUACUGUUUGACUUGAAUUACUGUGAAGUAACUAGAAUAUGUAGUGUAGCGGUGAAAUGCUUAGAUAUUACAUGGAAUACCAAUUGCGAAGGCAGGUUACUAAUGGUUUAUUGACGCUGAUGGACGAAAGCGUGGGGAGCGAACAGGAUUAGAUACCCCAGUAGUC